GUUGGAGAACAGCUAUUGAGUCACAAGAAAGAAAGACUAGAACAUUAUCAAAGAGGGAUAAUGAAUGUUUAUUGUAAGCAACACACCAGAUUUAAAGCUCUUCUCGAGAGACACAAUCUAUGCUCCCCAAUCCUCCCCAGAAUGUGAACAGGGGAGUUAACCUGUUCCCAGGAGAUCUUGGAACUGUUCAUGCAGCCUUGAACUGAGAUUUCUAUGUUUUGGUGUACUCAGCAGGAAUGGUAUGUCACAAACACCUGGGAAGAGGAACUCCAUUCCAUGAAGUCAUGAAAGGUUCACUGCACCUUGUGACUGGUUCUCUGAUCUUCUUUGAGGCACCAGAAAAUGAUUCAAAGUCAAGUAAGGUCACCUCUUUAUUCAGCAAAGACAGUAGUAAUGAAAAGUUCUAAGUUUCAUUUAGGUUAUCAGCACCAUAUCUAUGUCAUUAAAAAGAGUUUGGAAGGAUUACAUUGGAAGAAGAGAGAAGAGAGAGUAAGAAUGGGGAGAAUUUUCUAAUAUACAAGGGAUGAGUUUUUAAAGAGAAGGAGAUAACUUGGGAUGGUGGGCAUUGAUUAAGAAAUUCU
This 581-nucleotide long non-coding RNA is filed under the name Monodelphis domestica (gray short-tailed opossum). RNAcentral describes it as "lncRNA (ENSMODG00000048022.1)". The record is from RNAcentral. Lineage: Eukaryota; Metazoa; Chordata; Mammalia; Didelphimorphia; Didelphidae.